CGCAGCACCCAGGGCAGGGCAGCAGACAGCUGGGGUGAAACUCUGCCCUGCACCUUCUAGCUCCUCGGCUGGGCGACAGUAAGACCACCUUGCAGGGCUGUCAUGGGAACAAGAUGAGGCUGCAUGAAGAUGCCCAGUGCAGGGAGGACCGAGAGAAGAGGACCUGUGCUCAGUUCCUUCCUGCCGGUUCUCAGAGCAGCCUUGCUUCUUCAUUAUUAUCAUCAUCACCGUCACCCCAGAAACUCGUGAGCGUCCACGACGGACAAAAAUGGACAGCAGCUCUAUAGGCUGAUAGCAAAAGGAGACCCGACCCCAAUUUCCCGGGAAACUUUGACUCACAUCACUGUUAAUA
This is a long non-coding RNA of Physeter macrocephalus (sperm whale), 352 nucleotides long. RefSeq lists it as uncharacterized. The record is from RefSeq and is a predicted model, not a curated record. The transcript has 3 exons. Lineage: Eukaryota; Metazoa; Chordata; Mammalia; Artiodactyla; Physeteridae.